This 686-nucleotide ribosomal RNA is filed under the name uncultured Glomeromycotina. RNAcentral's name for it is "eukaryotic LSU rRNA". It matches the Rfam family "Eukaryotic large subunit ribosomal RNA", at positions 38 to 633 of the family's 3401-position model. Lineage: Eukaryota; Fungi; Glomeromycota. The record is from RNAcentral.
GCAUAUCAAUAAGCGGAGGAAAAGAAAAUAACAAUGAUUUCCCUAGUAACUGCGAGUGAAGAGGGACAAGCUCAAAUUUUAAAUCUGUCGGGUUCUCCUGACCGAGUUGUAAUUUGAAGAAGCGUUUUCUGCGCUGUUUGAUCAGCCCAAGUCUUAUUGAAUGAGGCAUCAUGGAGGGUGAUAAUCCCGUUCGGCUGAUCAUUGUGCUAUACGAUACGCUCUCAAAGAGUCAAGUUGUUUGGGGUUGCAGCUUAAAAUGGGAGGUAAAUUUCUCCUAAGGCUAAAUAUUGGCGAGAGACCGAUAGCGAACAAGUACCGUGAGGGAAAGAUGAAAAGAACUUUGAAAAGAGAGUUAAACAGUACGUGAAAUUGUUGAAAGGGGAAACGAUUGAAGCCAGUUAAGUCGGUGGGAAAUCAGCUUCCGGAUUUCUCUGGAGGUGCACUUUCUCGCAGGGCAAGUCAGCAUCAGUUUCGCCAGUCGUAAAAAGUCCGUCAGAAUGUGACUCCUUUCGGAGUGUUAUAACUAACGGUCAAUGCGAUGUGCGAGAUUGAGGAUUGCAAUGAGUGUCUUGCGGGGCUAAGUUUUCGGGUUCUUUGUGAUUGUCUUGGUAACAGCAUGCUGGGUGUCAAGUCGAUUUGCGAGAACGAGAAUUUAGCGUCGUAAAUUCGUUAAGGAUGUUGACGUA